UGGGGAAUCUUGCGCAAUGGGGGAAACCCUGACGCAGCGACGCCGCGUGCGGGAUGAAGGCCUUCGGGUUGUAAACCGCUUUCAGCAGGGACGAGGCCUUAUGGUGACGGUACCUGCAGAAGAAGCUCCGGCUAAAUACGUGCCAGCAGCCGCGGUAAUACGUAUGGAGCAAGCGUUGUCCGGAAUUACUGGGCGUAAAGAGCUCGUAGGCGGUUUGUCACGUCGUCUGUGAAAUCCUAGGGCUUAACCCUGGACGUGCAGGCGAUACGGGCUGACUUGAGUACUACAGGGGAGACUGGAAUUUCUGGUGUAGCGGUGGAAUGCACAGAUAUCAGGAAGAACACCGAUGGCGAAGGCAGGUCUCUGGGUAGUAACUGACGCUGAGGAGCGAAAGCAUGGGCAGCGAACAGG
This 411-nucleotide ribosomal RNA is filed under the name Verrucomicrobiota bacterium. Its description in RNAcentral is "Verrucomicrobia bacterium partial 16S ribosomal RNA". It matches the Rfam family "Bacterial small subunit ribosomal RNA", at positions 355 to 776 of the family's 1533-position model. The record is from RNAcentral. Lineage: Bacteria; Pseudomonadati; Verrucomicrobiota.